AGGUUACUCUGUGGAUGGAAUCUUCUCUUGAGUUCUAUCCAGCACCAUCUGUGGACCUAUUGUACAAGAAAGUGAUUUUCAAAAUUGCUGUCAUUGGAAGAGCCAAUCUUUGGUCUGCAGCCAAAAUUUGUAGGAAAAAGGUAUUAUAAAGUCUUACCAUGAAACUGUCGUCCCUAACCCCUGGCCAUGGACCUGUACCAGGACAGGCUGCAGAGUUCCGCCCCUUGUCCCCCACGUCCUGUGGGCACAACCCAGA
Molecule: non-coding RNA, 256 nt
Organism: Microcebus murinus (gray mouse lemur)
Lineage: Eukaryota; Metazoa; Chordata; Mammalia; Primates; Cheirogaleidae
Source: RefSeq, a predicted model, not a curated record